Chelonia mydas (Green sea turtle) is the source of this 162-nucleotide long non-coding RNA. RefSeq lists it as uncharacterized. The record is from RefSeq and is a predicted model, not a curated record. Lineage: Eukaryota; Metazoa; Chordata; Testudines; Cheloniidae. The transcript has 3 exons.
AUGGCUGAUGACAUUCCAUGUUGAUAACUGCAAAGUACUGGGCAUUGGAAAACAUAAUCCCAACUCUACAUCUAAAACGAUGGGGUCUAAAUUAGCUGUUACCACUCAAGAAAGAGAUCUUGGAGUCAUUGUGGAUAGUUCUCUGAAAACAUCCACUCAGUG